This 372-nucleotide ribosomal RNA is filed under the name uncultured organism. RNAcentral describes it as "partial 16S ribosomal RNA". It matches the Rfam family "Bacterial small subunit ribosomal RNA", at positions 527 to 896 of the family's 1533-position model. The record is from RNAcentral.
GUAGGUGGCAAGCGUUGUCCGGAAUUAUUGGGCGUAAAGCGCGCGCAGGGCGGUCCUUUAAGUCUGAUGUGAAAGCCCACGGCUCAACCGUGGAGGGUCAUUGGAAACUGGGGGACUUGAGUACAGAAGAGGAAAGCGGAAUUCCAAGUGUAGCGGUGAAAUGCGUAGAGAUUUGGAGGAACACCAGUGGCGAAGGCGGCUUUCUGGUCUGUAACUGAUGCUGAGGCGCGAAAGCGUGGGGAGCAAACAGGAUUAGAUACCCUGGUAGUCCACGCCGUAAACGAUGAGUGCUAAGUGUUAGGGGGUUUCCGCCCCUUAGUGCUGCAGCUAACGCAUUAAGCACUCCGCCUGGGGAGUACGGCCGCAAGGCUG